RNAcentral lists this ribosomal RNA (491 nucleotides) under uncultured bacterium. Its description in RNAcentral is "partial 16S ribosomal RNA". It matches the Rfam family "Bacterial small subunit ribosomal RNA", at positions 29 to 507 of the family's 1533-position model. The record is from RNAcentral.
GUGCACGCUGGCGGUAGGCCUAACACCUGCCAGUCGCACGGCAGCACAGUAAGAGCUUGCUCUUACGGGUGGCGAGUGGCGGACGGGUGAGGAAUACAUCGGAAUCUACUUUUUCGUGGGGGAUAACGUAGGGAAACUUACGCUAAUACCGCAUACGACCUACGGGUGAAAGCAGGGGAUCUUCGGACCUUGCGCGAUUGAAUGAGCCGAUGUCGGAUUAGCUAGUUGGCGGGGUAAAGGCCCACCAAGGCGACGAUCCGUAGCUGGUCUGAGAGGAUGAUCAGCCACACUGGAACUGAGACACGGUCCAGACUCCUACGGGAGGCAGCAGUGGGGAAUAUUGGACAAAGGGCGCAAGCCUGAUCCAGCCAUACCGCGUGGGUGAAGAAGGCCUUCGGGUUGUAAAGCCCUUUUGUUGGGAAAGAAAAGCAGCAGGUUAAUACCCCGCUGUUCUGACGGUACCCAAAGAAUAAGCACCGGCUAACUUCGUG